AGAGUUUGAUCCUGGCUCAGAGUGAACGCUGGCGGCAGGCCUAACACAUGCAAGUCGAGCGGCAGCGCGGGGCAACCUGGCGGCGAGCGGCGGACGGGUGAGGAAUGCAUCGGAAUCUACCCUGUCGUGGGGGAUAACGUAGGGAAACUUACGCUAAUACCGCAUACGACCGAGAGGUGAAAGUGGGGGACCGCAAGGCCUCACGCGAUUGGAUGAGCCGAUGCCGGAUUAGCUAGUUGGUGGGGUAAAGGCCCACCAAGGCGACGAUCCGUAGCUGGUCUGAGAGGAUGAUCAGCCACACUGGGACUGAGACACGGCCCAGACUCCUACGGGAGGCAGCAGUGGGGAAUAUUGGACAAUGGGCGCAAGCCUGAUCCAGCCAUGCCGCGUGUGUGAAGAAGGCCUUCGGGUUGUAAAGCACUUUUGUUCGGGAAGAAAUCGUGCGGAUUAAUACUUCGUACGGAUGACGGUACCGAAAGAAUAAGCACCGGCUAACUUCGUGCCAGCAGCCGCGGUAAUAC
This 521-nucleotide ribosomal RNA is filed under the name uncultured bacterium. Its description in RNAcentral is "bacterial SSU rRNA". It matches the Rfam family "Bacterial small subunit ribosomal RNA", at positions 8 to 526 of the family's 1533-position model. The record is from RNAcentral.